This 492-nucleotide ribosomal RNA is filed under the name uncultured bacterium. RNAcentral describes it as "bacterial SSU rRNA". It matches the Rfam family "Bacterial small subunit ribosomal RNA", at positions 28 to 525 of the family's 1533-position model. The record is from RNAcentral.
GACGAACGCUGGCGGCGUGCCUAACACAUGCAAGUCGAGCGGGGUUGAGGCGAGAGGUAACUCGAGCUUCUACCUAGCGGCGGACGGGUGAGUAACGCGUGGGCAACCUGCCUCAAGGUUUGGGAUAACAGCCCGAAAGGGCUGCUAAUACCGGAUAUGCCUAUGGCCUCGCAUGGGGCUAUGAGCAAAGGGGAAACCCGCCUUGAGAUGGGCCCGCGUCCCAUCAGCUAGUUGGUGAGGUAACAGCUCACCAAGGCGACGACGGGUAGCCGGCCUGAGAGGGUGACCGGCCACACUGGGACUGAGACACGGCCCAGACUCCUACGGGGGCAGCAGUGGGGGAUCUUGCACAAUGGGCGAAAGCCUGAUGCAGCGACGCCGCGUGAGCGAAGAAGGCCUUCGGGUUGUAAAGCUCUGUCUGGAGGGACGAACAAAAUGACGGUACCUCCGGAGGAAGCCACGGCUAACUACGUGCCAGCAGCCGCGGUAAAU